Molecule: non-coding RNA, 29 nt
Filed under: Rattus norvegicus (Norway rat)
Lineage: Eukaryota; Metazoa; Chordata; Mammalia; Rodentia; Muridae
Source: RNAcentral
UGUUUUUCAAGGUGUCGUAAAGGUUGGGU